GCCGCCCCAGCCCCGCCCCUCCUCGAGCCGCGGCGGUCGGGGCCGCCCACGAAGGGGCUGCAUUUUUCAUCUGCAGCACGCUUUCUCUCAAGAAUCUCAAGCACACACAAGAAACCAGAGAGUAAAAUCACUGAGGCGUGAACACAUCCAGAGACCAAGGGCGUCACUGGCAGAAAAGCUUUUAGGCGGAUCCACGGCCCGAGAGCCACCCUGCCCAGAGACGCGGUUUCCUAGGAGCAGUUCACACGCGGCUCUGCAGCACCCACAAGCGGGGCCAGGGGCUGGUUUUCAUAGUUCACAGUCUGCAGGGAUCUUAACAAAAACAUGGCCGUGGUAAAAGUGCCUAGACCAGGCUUUCGUCACAACUCAUUUGGAACCAAAACUGCAGUGUCCCCAAGGCAUGCCUGUAGGUAAACAUGAGUCCAUACUGAUAAAUGAUCGAAUAAACAGGAGAGAAGAAACAAAUCUUCAAGAAGAAUAACAUGCACAGAUACUGCUCUCUCCAGGGGUUGGAGCUGAAACCUCCUCAACCCACAGAGUAUGGAAAGGGAAAAACAGGAACUUGACAGUGGAGAAAUCUGGCAGACACCACUGUGACCAGGUGGCCAAGGUCAGCACUGCCUGGGAUAGGUCGUGUGGUGGUUACAACCACCCAGUAGGAUGUGAUGAGAAAGGUGCUUGAGAAACACAUCAAACUCCAAUUGAGGGACAUUCUACAGACUACCUGGCCAGUACUCCUCAAAACUGUCAAGGUCAUGAGAAACAAGGGAAGUCUGAGAAACUGUCACAGGCAAGAGAACGCAAAGGAGAUGGGAUGACUAAAUGCAGUAUGUGCCUGGAUGGGACUCUGGGACAGAAAGCAGACAUUACGGAAAAACUGGUGAAAUCCAAAUCAAGGCUGGAUUUUAGUGAAUGGACACUAACAAUGUUGGUUUCUUAGUCAUGACAAAUGUACCAUGGGAAGAGAAGAGGUUACCAAUGGGGGAAACUAGGUGAGGGGCACACAUAAGCUCUCUGUACUAUCUCUGCCAUUUUUCUGUAAAUCAAAAAUUAGUCCAAAAUAAAAGUUUAUUGGAAAAGAAAAAAAAAGACAUAACA
RNAcentral lists this long non-coding RNA (1098 nucleotides) under Homo sapiens (human). RNAcentral describes it as "HSALNT0375448". Lineage: Eukaryota; Metazoa; Chordata; Mammalia; Primates; Hominidae. The record is from RNAcentral.